GACGAACGCUGGCGGCGUGCUUAACACAUGCAAGUCGAACGGAAAGGCCCUGCUUUUGUGGGGUGCUCGAGUGGCGAACGGGUGAGUAACACGUGAGUAACCUGCCCUUGACUUUGGGAUAACUUCAGGAAACUGGGGCUAAUACCGGAUAGGAGCUCCUGCUGCAUGGUGGGGGUUGGAAAGUUUCGGCGGUUGGGGAUGGACUCGCGGCUUAUCAGCUUGUUGGUGGGGUAGUGGCUUACCAAGGCUUUGACGGGUAGCCGGCCUGAGAGGGUGACCGGCCACAUUGGGACUGAGAUACGACCCAGACUCCUACUGGAGGCAGCAGUGACGAAUAUUACACAAUGGGCGGAAGCCUGAUGCAGCAACGCCGCGUGCGGGAUGACGGCCUUCGGGUUGUAAACCGCUUUCGCCUGUGACGAAGCGUGAGUGACGGUAAUGGGUAAAGAAGCACCGGCUAACUACGUG
RNAcentral lists this ribosomal RNA (468 nucleotides) under uncultured bacterium. RNAcentral describes it as "partial 16S ribosomal RNA". It matches the Rfam family "Bacterial small subunit ribosomal RNA", at positions 28 to 507 of the family's 1533-position model. The record is from RNAcentral.